RNAcentral lists this long non-coding RNA (668 nucleotides) under Manihot esculenta (cassava). RNAcentral's name for it is "long non-coding RNA (MESC_LNC006103)". Lineage: Eukaryota; Viridiplantae; Streptophyta; Magnoliopsida; Malpighiales; Euphorbiaceae. The record is from RNAcentral.
GUUCGGACCCGAGGAACCAAGGACCCCAGCAGUGAGCCAGCUGCUACAGAGUUUGUCAGAGUCAGCCAGAGGUGAGUGGGACUAUACUUAACCUUUUAAAUUAAGAAAUUAAAUGUUUUUAUCAUGCUUCAUGCAUCAUGAUUAUGGUAUAGGUUGUUUGCAUUAGAAUCACGAAUUCUGUUGCAUCGCAUUAUUAUUUGUUCUUGAUGGGGGAUGGACAUUGCACGACUCACUAGCCCUUUGUACGAAGUCCUAUGGUGCCCAUAAUAGGGCCGGGCAAUAGCUCCGAUCUACGAAGUCCUGUGGUGCCCAUAAUAGGGCCGGGCAAUACGAAGUCCUGUGGUGCCCAUAAUAGGGCCGGGCAUGGAGCUGAGGGAUUUUUGGGUCAGUCCAUCCAUGAUGUGAAAUGUUUGUGCAGUGAUGCAUUCCAUGAUAACAUGUUUUAAAAUAUUCUUUUUAGAGUUCUACUCACUGGGCAUCUAGCUCACCCCUCUCCCCUAAACCCCAGGUUUGCAGGUACGGGAUAGAUAGAGAAGACAAGAAGAGAAAAAGUCCUAUGAAUGUAAUAGUUAGAUUGUGGACAUGACAAUUGUAUUUUGAUGUAAUGUAAAAAUGUUCAGUAUGUUAUGUAAUGAGGUUAUUGAGGAUAGAGUUGUGCUUGACCAUAG